ACGUCGCAAGACCAAAGAGGGGGACCUUCGGGCCUCUUGCCAUCAGAUGUGCCCAGAUGGGAUUAGCUUGUUGGUGAGGUAACGGCUCACCAAGGCGACGAUCCCUAGCUGGUCUGAGAGGAUGACCAGCCACACUGGAACUGAGACACGGUCCAGACUCCUACGGGAGGCAGCAGUGGGGAAUAUUGCACAAUGGGCGCAAGCCUGAUGCAGCCAUGCCGCGUGUAUGAAGAAGGCCUUCGGGUUGUAAAGUACUUUCAGCGGGGAGGAAGGUGUUGUGGUUAAUAACCGCAGCAAUUGACGUUACCCGCAGAAGAAGCACCGGCUAACUCCGUGCCAGCAGCCGCGGUAAUACGGAGGGUGCAAGCGUUAAUCGGAAUUACUGGGCGUAAAGCGCACGCAGGCGGUCUGUCAAGUCGGAUGUGAAAUCCCCGGGCUCAACCUGGGAACUGCAUUCGAAACUGGCAGGCUUGAGUCUUGUAGAGGGGGGUAGAAUUCCAGGUGUAGCGGUGAAAUGCGUAGAGAUCUGGAGGAAUACCGGUGGCGAAGGCGGCCCCCUGGACAAAG
RNAcentral lists this ribosomal RNA (567 nucleotides) under Salmonella enterica subsp. enterica. Its description in RNAcentral is "bacterial SSU rRNA". It matches the Rfam family "Bacterial small subunit ribosomal RNA", at positions 190 to 738 of the family's 1533-position model. RNAcentral also lists the same sequence under 1 other name. Lineage: Bacteria; Pseudomonadati; Pseudomonadota; Gammaproteobacteria; Enterobacterales; Enterobacteriaceae. The record is from RNAcentral.